CGAAAUGCGAUAGGUAAUGUGAAUUGCAGAAUUCAGUGAAUCAUCGAAUCUUUGAACGCACCUUGCA
RNAcentral lists this ribosomal RNA (67 nucleotides) under uncultured Sebacina. RNAcentral's name for it is "partial 5.8S ribosomal RNA". It matches the Rfam family "5.8S ribosomal RNA", at positions 49 to 115 of the family's 154-position model. From Rfam's summary of the family: 5.8S ribosomal RNA (5.8S rRNA) is a component of the large subunit of the eukaryotic ribosome. It is transcribed by RNA polymerase I as part of the 45S precursor that also contains 18S and 28S rRNA. The record is from RNAcentral. Lineage: Eukaryota; Fungi; Basidiomycota; Agaricomycetes; Sebacinales; Sebacinaceae.